RNAcentral lists this long non-coding RNA (373 nucleotides) under Carica papaya (papaya). RNAcentral's name for it is "long non-coding RNA (CPAP_LNC002820)". The record is from RNAcentral. Lineage: Eukaryota; Viridiplantae; Streptophyta; Magnoliopsida; Brassicales; Caricaceae.
AACGUCUUCCUGAUCUAAAAUGGUUAAAUAAGGAAUGAGCUACACCAGCCCAGUAAAGACAUCACACUAUCUCACCGCCACGGAAGUAAAGGUGGGUAGAAAAUAAAAAUGACCAAUGGAGCAUAAUUUAUAACAAACUCGUUUAUUAACAUAAAAACCUUUACUGUCCACUUACCUCGGUGAGAUCCAUGAAAACAACAUAUGAAAGCAAUAACAUUAUUAUCAUCAUGAAAUCAUAUAGACUUUAUAACAUAACACUUACCAUGCCUUUGCAUUUCAAUCAUUAAACAACAUAUUUUCCUCUUUUACCAGCCUACUAGUAUCCAUGGGGAUCCAUAGGGGGUCCCCGCUACCCGUGAACUAUUAACAUUAC